This 1067-nucleotide long non-coding RNA is filed under the name Apteryx rowi (Okarito brown kiwi). Its description in RNAcentral is "lncRNA (ENSARWG00000009461.1)". The record is from RNAcentral. Lineage: Eukaryota; Metazoa; Chordata; Aves; Apterygiformes; Apterygidae.
GUGGAAUCAGUAUUAGUAGCUGUAACAGUGCAUUCCACCCUACAGGUUAUUUGGGAAACCAGAUGGACCCAGGCUAAAAUCAUCUGUAUUUCCAACAUGUGAAAAAUUAUGUCAGAGUGGACACAUGAAAAGGAGCGUGCUGUAUGUUUUGUGUGUGUUUAUCACAUGAGCUUCUGAACCUCAUCUGUCCUGGAUCUUUAAUCAGUUGUCCCAGCCCCAAUACGAGGGUUAAAGGACAAGAAGACCCCCAGGGCAUCCAGGGUCCCAUUGAUUUUCAGUAUUUCAUGAUGCUCAUGCACGUGGUGAUGAAGGAUCAGGAUCAGAAAGGCUGGUUCCCUUUGGAGGAUGAGGUGUGCACUCAUUCACGUGUGUCCUCGCAUGCACCUGGCACCAGAGAGCAGCCUGCUAACCUGAGGAGAUGGACAGCCCCGGGAUGCCGUAGCCCAUUCCGACCUGUGAUUUAUGAGGAGAGCUGGGAGACCCUCAGAGACGAAAGCCCAGUGAGAUAGUUGCCUCAGUGUCGACCGUGGACGGGACCUUCUGCUGGGAUUGCUGCCUCAGAGCAGAGCAUUUUGCAUGGGGGUGCAGAGCCCCGUGGCCCCAGCGCUCUCCUAAAACCCUGUGCGCGUGGCAGGGGCUCAGGGGUGGCAGCGCCGUGGCCCUCGUCAGCAAAGGACGUGGUCUGGAGCCCGCCAGCCCCUGGCUUCGCUGGGGGAGCAAGGAGGGGACGGGUUGAAGGUCCUGGCCGUCCCUUUGGGGACCAACUCUGGUCCCGGCUGAGCCGUGAAGCAGCCCUGGGCGCUGGCCGAAAAGCCCCGGUGGAGGCAUGCAAACACCAAAGCCGCUGCGGCUCCUCGCUCCGAGGCCCCAGGCGCUGUCUCGGCCCUGGCYGCAGCUGCGGGGCGCCGAGGGGAGAGCCGGGCUCGGCGUUUGCCGUCCCAGCCGCCCACCCGUCCGCUCGGCCCGGUGCUGCAGGGUGCAGCAGCUGGUGAGAGGAGAGAUAAAUGAGACAAAGCGGCAGCAGCUUUUGCAAUAAACUCAACUCAACUAUGCGAUUGAACUGGAAA